UUCUCAAGCCUAUCCACAUUGCGAAGAAAUGAGAAAGCUUGUUUGGAAGAGAACAUUAAAGGUGUGGUUGAACAACCAUUUGAUAACAUUAGUGUGGGUGUGAACUACAGAUUUAAUCAGCCACCUGAGCAGAAGCCAAGAAUAGAGAUGGGAUUGUACCAGCAGAGAUACUGUCAGCCAGGACUAAAGGGGACAGGAAAAAUCAGAAUGGAAUGAAAGAAGGCUGUAGGACUUCUCAGAUUCUACAGAAACAGACAACAGAGCUAUCUGGCUGUGAGCAUGAGCUACCCUUUUAAAAAGUGAAGAAUGGCCCCAAAAGUGAUUCAAAUACUGUCCGUGAACCACAGCCUGCCAUUCUCACCACAGGCCUAAGAGGCUGAGGCCCAGUGCCAUAAGGGUGACAGUGCAAGUGGGCCUGGAGGGCAUAGCAUCAAACCAAAAAGAAUAAUUCUAGAGCCUUAAGACCUAAUGGGAUUUGCCUUGCCAGGUUUGGGGACUUGCUUGGGACUUGUCAUCCUUUUUUUCUUUCUUGUUUCUCCUUUCUGAGAUGGCAUGUCUUUCCUAUGCCCGUCCCAUCAUUGUGUUUUGGAAGAGCAUAUUGUCUGGUUUCACAGGUUCACAGCUGGAGAGGAAUUUUGCCUCAGAAUGAAUGGUACCAAAAGUCUCGGCCAUACCUGAUUUAUGCUUACAUUAGGCUUUGGAUUUUAGACUUUAGAGUUGAUACUUAAACAAGUUAAGACUUUUAGUGUGGUUGGGAUGGAAGAGAAUAUAUCUACAUGUGACAAGAACACAGAUUUUGGCAGGCCACGGACAGUAUGUUACAGAUUGAACGCAUGUGCC
RNAcentral lists this long non-coding RNA (840 nucleotides) under Homo sapiens (human). RNAcentral describes it as "HSALNT0162158". The record is from RNAcentral. Lineage: Eukaryota; Metazoa; Chordata; Mammalia; Primates; Hominidae.